UAUCAGUAUCAAGAAUUUCUAAUUAAAUUUAGAAAACCAACCGAGUCGAAACGCUACGGUGGUCAAAAGAUGCGGGCUGUUCUAAAGUCAAAAAUGUUUUGUUUU
RNAcentral lists this non-coding RNA (105 nucleotides) under Emticicia aquatica. RNAcentral describes it as "SAM-I-IV-variant". It matches the Rfam family "SAM-I/IV (S-adenosyl methionine) riboswitch aptamer". Rfam says of the family: It is found upstream of a number of genes which code for proteins involved in methionine or cysteine biosynthesis. It has been found mostly in the order Actinomycetales. The record is from RNAcentral. Lineage: Bacteria; Pseudomonadati; Bacteroidota; Cytophagia; Cytophagales; Leadbetterellaceae.